This 497-nucleotide ribosomal RNA is filed under the name uncultured Sphingobacterium sp. Its description in RNAcentral is "bacterial SSU rRNA". It matches the Rfam family "Bacterial small subunit ribosomal RNA", at positions 9 to 506 of the family's 1533-position model. The record is from RNAcentral. Lineage: Bacteria; Pseudomonadati; Bacteroidota; Sphingobacteriia; Sphingobacteriales; Sphingobacteriaceae.
GAGUUUGAUCUUGGCUCAGGAUGAACGCUAGCGGCAGGCUUAACACAUGCAAGUCGAGGGGCAGCAGGUCUUCGGACGCUGGCGACCGGCAAACGGGUGCGGAACACGUACGCAACUUACCCUUAUCUGGGGGAUAGCCCGGUGAAAACCGGAUUAACACCCCAUAGUAUUCCUGGAGGGCAUCUUUUAGGAAUUAAAAAUUUAUUGGAUAGGGAUGGGCGUGCGUAAGAUUAGGUAGUUGGUGAGGUAACGGCUCACCAAGCCGACGAUCUUUAGCUGAUGUGAGAGCAUGAUCAGCCACACGGGCACUGAGACACGGGCCCGACUCCUACGGGAGGCAGCAGUGAGGAAUAUUGGUCAAUGGGCGGAAGCCUGAACCAGCCAUGCCGCGUGAAGGACGAAGGCGUUCUGCGUUGUAAACUUCUUUUAUCUGGGAAGAACCUACGAUUUCUAUUGUAGCCGACGGUACCAGAUGAAUAAGCACCGGCUAACUCCGU